UACGUAGGUGGCAAGCGUUGUCCGGAUUUAUUGGGCGUAAAGCGAGCGCAGGCGGUUUCUUAAGUCUGAUGUGAAAGCCCCCGGCUCAACCGGGGAGGGUCAUUGGAAACUGGAAAACUUGAGUGCAGAAGAGGAAAGUGGAAUUCCAUGUGUAGCGGUGAAAUGCGCAGAGAUAUGGAGGAACACCAGUGGCGAAGGCGACUUGCUGGAAUCUAACUGACGCUGAGGUACGAAAGCGUGGGGAGCAAACAGG
This 253-nucleotide ribosomal RNA is filed under the name uncultured bacterium. RNAcentral describes it as "partial 16S ribosomal RNA". It matches the Rfam family "Bacterial small subunit ribosomal RNA", at positions 524 to 776 of the family's 1533-position model. The record is from RNAcentral.